AAAAAAACUAGAGGAGGGAAGACGACAAUCCAGCUGAACCCACUGGAGGAGAAAUUGUUGGGGGCGAUUGCCGAAACGUUAGUUGAAGGAGUAGAUGGAGGAGUGGACACUGGAGAACCGGGAGAAGACGAUAGCCUGCAAGCAGGAGAUACUUUGGUCGUAAUAGUAGUCAACCAGGAUGCAGAACAAUCCCACACAAUCAAUGCAGCUGAACCAACCCAAGCCCUUACAAACCAUCAAAACCUGUUACAGAGUCCCGGGGAUGACCUGACAUUAUCCCAGCUAUUCUCGGAAACCUUUCAUACACCUGCCACAUCCAGAAGCAACACGGAGGACAUGGUCUCCCUUCAGCGUCAGCUUUUGGAGGAAGUUAAAAUGCUGAGGCAUACUCCGGAGCAACUCCUGCAGGUGGAGAGGGAAAAGCUGCUCGUCGAGAGGGAGAAGCUUCACCUUGCCCAAGCCAAGUUUGAUUUAAAAAAAAAUGAAUGUUGAACCUAGAAUAAAAUAGCAAUCACUCAGAGGUUUUCAUGUGUUGUUUAUUGUGGUUUUUCUUCACAUGAAUCUCCUCCUUAUGAGGUCUUGUCUCACUUGCAUGCCAGUGUUACAUGGGGCAGGGACUGGGACAUCUCCCUCGGGGGGCAUCAUCUUCUGGGAUGUCAGGGAUUGGCAAGCGGUACAUAAUGCAGAUGUUGUGGAGGAUAAAAGCACAGGUAAUCAUUUUACAUGCCCUCUCAGGAGUGUACUGGAGCACUCCACCAGAACAGUCGAUACACCUAAACCUUGACUUCACUACCCCAAUGCACCUCUCCACAACACUACGCGUUUUUCGUUGUGCCCGGCUGUAGCGCUCAUCUGGCUCUGUUGCUGGGUGAAGGAUGGGUGUCAUCAACCAUGGUCUUAAGGCCUAGCCACCGUCUCCUGUCAUAGCGGACAUUAGUUAGGGCAAUACAGUAUGUUUUUGUUUUAACCUAAAGUAGAAUUCAUGUGUAGUUCUCACCUAACAACCAACCACCGGGCAUUUCUCCCUCAUUAAGUUUAAUGCCUGUUCCUGAAUUCAUAAGAACAAAGGAGUCGUGGGUGCUACCCGGCCACUUCGCAACAAGGUCUGUCACUCGGAGCGUUGCAUCACAUAUGACCUGUGUGUUUAUCGAGUGGAAUUUUUUCCUGUUCACAAAGGCCUCCUCCUCAUCAUUUGGUGCCUAUGGAAUUAAAAUGUAUGGAUAAUUCAUACUUAAGGUAACGCUUCAAGCACCACGUGAAAUGUUUUUUGAUUCAAGCUGAUACGUUCAUAAACAGCAUAAACAGAUUUGCAAAAAAAUUCAAAUAAAUAACAUUAUCUUACUUUGAUUGCAAUAUGUGUCCCAUCAACUGCCCCCAGCACAUUUGGAAAUCCGGCUAUUUAAAAAAAAUGCUGUUUGGUUCGAAUGCAUUCUGCGUCUGUUGCUGGAAACUUGAUGAACUGCCGUGCUCUUCUACAGAGUGCAUUUGUAACAUCUCUGACCACUCGGCUAACGGAUGAUUGGCUCACACCCAGGGUGCCCCCCACCACCAUUUGAAAAGACCCAGAGGCAAAAAAUCUCAGGGCAGCCAUAAUUUGCGUUACAACUGGAAGGGGUGACGAUCGCCUUGUUUUCCUUUUCAGGUCAUUUGAUAGCAUAUCUGCUAAAUAAAUAAUUGCAGGCCUAGGGAGCCUAUAUUGUCUAAUCAACAUGUGAUCAGGGAGCAUAAGCAGAUCCAUUCUGCCUUGGUGGAUUUUCCUCCCUAACUGUCACCCAAAGAACUUCCAUCUAAAAAAAAAAGAGUAAUAUGAUUUCAGUGACUUGGCCAACUGAAAUGAUCUAAUAAUCUAAAUAAAUACAACUGCCUUCUUGAUAUACUUAAGAGAAAAUUGAAGUAUAAUCAAACAUCUUUGAUAACUAUUACUUCUCAACACUGUCUGGUAUUAUCAAUAGUAAAUGACAGAGUUUAGGCCCAUUUCAUUUAAUAUUAUAUUAUAUAAUAUAUAUAUAAUAGUAUGACAAGCUUAAAUUCACAACAUUGUUUAACAUAUAGUCUUGGGUUAAGCAAUA
Long non-coding RNA from Gadus morhua (Atlantic cod), 2069 nucleotides. The record is from Ensembl. Lineage: Eukaryota; Metazoa; Chordata; Actinopteri; Gadiformes; Gadidae.